AACACAUACAGACUUGGAAAGACCUACAAUUAAAAGGUACCCAGAGGAAAUAACUUAGAGACUGCAGAUAUGGUUUAGUGGAUCAGCCAGGCAAGAGGACUGGCUGCCAGUAAUUCCAGAACCCGGGACGCAAAGAUCCCCUUGGCAAGUUUCUAGCGAGACUAGCCAGAAUUGGAGACCUUCAGGGUUAAAGAGAGACCCUGCCUCCAAAUGUUUUCUAGCAGGAAAAAUAUUAAGCUUUUAUGAAGAAUUCUUCUGGCCUCCUUGAGCUCAGUUUGUUGCUGAAGAGGAGCCAUGUUAAGACUUCACGAUCCUCCCUCCUUGUGUUCCUGGUUCCUACCCCUCCCCAACACCUUGACUCCAGCAAUUCAUUAUGGAUGGACAUCGUCUUACUAGGUGACACCCCUUGCAGAGGUCUUUGGAACAUCACUGAGUUCCAGGGUCUGAUUUGCUAUUUUCUCUGCUUGGGAUGCUCUUAUAAUGGUUUGGGCAUCUUCAGAGAGAGCUGGCUGGCUGGCCAGACUAGCAGAAACUAGAGCUCUGGCUUUAGAAGGAGACCCUGCCUCAAUAUACAAAGGGAAGAGCCAUUGAAAAAUUCACCCACUACAUCCACAAUGCUCCCCAUACAUUAAAAAAUAAAACAAAAUAGAAUAAAUUACCUUUUAUUGUG
RNAcentral lists this long non-coding RNA (670 nucleotides) under Mus pahari (shrew mouse). RNAcentral's name for it is "lncRNA (MGP_PahariEiJ_G0004592.1)". Lineage: Eukaryota; Metazoa; Chordata; Mammalia; Rodentia; Muridae. The record is from RNAcentral.